This 489-nucleotide ribosomal RNA is filed under the name Curvularia cactivora. RNAcentral describes it as "partial large subunit ribosomal RNA". It matches the Rfam family "Eukaryotic large subunit ribosomal RNA", at positions 405 to 915 of the family's 3401-position model. The record is from RNAcentral. Lineage: Eukaryota; Fungi; Ascomycota; Dothideomycetes; Pleosporales; Pleosporaceae.
GUGUUGAAGGGAAGCGCUUGCAGCCAGACUUGCUUGCAGUUGCUCAUCCGGGCUUUUGCCCGGUGCACUCUUCUGCAGGCAGGCCAGCAUCAGUUUGGGCGGUGGGAUAAAGGUCUCUGUCACGUACCUCUCUUCGGGGAGGCCUUAUAGGGGAGACGACAUACCACCAGCCUGGACUGAGGUCCGCGCAUCUGCUAGGAUGCUGGCGUAAUGGCUGUAAGCGGCCCGUCUUGAAACACGGACCAAGGAGUCUAACAUCUAUGCGAGUGUUUGGGUGUCAAGCCCGAGCGCGUAAUGAAAGUGAACGGAGGUGGGAACCCGCAAGGGCGCACCAUCGACCGAUCCUGAAGUUUACGGAAGGAUUUGAGUAAGAGCAUGGCUGUUGGGACCCGAAAGAUGGUGAACUAUGCUUGAAUAGGGUGAAGCCAGAGGAAACUCUGGUGGAGGCUCGCAGCGGUUCUGACGUGCAAAUCGAUCGUCAAAUUUGGG